CAUUAAAUGACUGAAAGCGUAAGUUUUGAUUUUUUAAAUCAACUAAUAGUAAAAUAACGAUUACUUUUAAUG
This 72-nucleotide transfer RNA is filed under the name Pseudomyrmex gracilis. Its description in RNAcentral is "tRNA-Lys". The record is from RNAcentral. Lineage: Eukaryota; Metazoa; Arthropoda; Insecta; Hymenoptera; Formicidae.